UGUCACUUAAACGGGUUACAUAUGCAGUUACAAGGAGGGAAAACAGUCGUGGAUAUGGUGGAAAAACUUGAGGCCUUUAUUAUUAGGAAGCUUGAGGUUUUCGAUUUGGACAUGUAAUCUGAAAGAGUACUGCAUUUCAGCACACUGAAGAAACGACAGGCAGAGGGACCAGGCCACAGCGUUGUCACAGAGGUGAUGGAAUAUUUCAUCAAGCAGCUGAGGGACAACUUAUCCACCAGAUUUGAAGACUACAACAUGCCCAAGGAUAUCAUUGCGUUUCUAAAAUCGCUACUGAUCUCAUGCGACAUCCACAAGAUCGUGUCCGAGGGGAAAUUCAACUUUUCCCGUUGAGAGCAGGGCAAGCAGGCUCUCACGACACAGAUAUUCAGACACAGACAUUGACUUUUUUUCUUUAAAUUAUUGUUUUAUGUAAGAUGCUACAUUUUUGGCCAGUUGCAAUUGUAAGUGGGCCUAAUAAAAAAAAUCAAUUUCUAAUAGGACAUAUAUUUUUUUGUGAAAGAUGCUGUUCAGCCUCAUAGCCGACCCCCGUCAGUUACAUUAUUUUAUAUUUUUAUUUUAUUUUUUUUAUUUCACCUUUAUUUAACCAGGUAGGCUAGUUGAGAACAAGUUCUCAUUUGCAACUGCGACCUGGCCAAGAUAAAGCAUAGCAGUGUGAACAGACAACACAGAGUUACACAUGGAGUAAAC
Molecule: long non-coding RNA, 708 nt
Organism: Oncorhynchus keta (chum salmon)
Lineage: Eukaryota; Metazoa; Chordata; Actinopteri; Salmoniformes; Salmonidae
Exons: 3
Source: RefSeq, a predicted model, not a curated record